AUCGACGUUUUUCCUUCCUCCAACCAUUUCCAACACUAACAUCCCAAAGCUGUAAACAUCUGAUUUAUAGGAAACACUCCCGAAGUUCCUCGAGAACACUUCCGGGGCAAUGUAGCCAACAGUCCCCCUAGCAGUCGUCAUGGAAAUAGCACUUUUAUCCUUGGAACACAGCUUUGCCAUCCCAAAAUCGGCGAUUUUGGGAUUGAAUUCGUUGUCAAGCAGGAUAUUCUGUGGUUUGAUAUCAAAAUGGAGGAUUCUUUGAUCACACCCCUGGUGAAGAUAUUCAAUCCCCUUGGCUAUGCCUAGAGCAACACGAUUCAACCUUUCCCAGCCAAGGAAAUGGUUCCUUGAGUCUGCUGAGGUUAUGAACUUCUGUAAUGAACCAUUUGGCAAGUACUCAUAAACCAGAGCUCGUCUGAAUCCAUCAGCACAGAAACCGAUCAAGCGAACAACAUUGACAUGGUGGAUCCUUGCCAUUGUUCCCACUUCAUUGAUGAAUUCCUCCCCUUUUCCUAUGGAAUUAUUGAGGAGCUUCACAGCUACAGCAAUUUCAUUGGUUAGCUUUCCUUUGAACACGGUUCCAUAAGCUCCUUGGCCCAAUUCAUCACCGAAUUGAUUUGUGAUCCUCUUGAGAUCAGCGUAGGAGUACCUAGUGGGAUUCAGUGAUCUGUAAUCAUCCAAAAACAUUUCAACCCUGCUUGAUAUUCUCUUUGUGUUUUAUCGUUGCUAUAGGCGCGGUAGAGUGCAGUAAUCACUAUAGCAAAAAGGAAGAAUCCUAAAAUCACACCUGCAUAUCAACAUUCUGAGUCAGGAAAUCUCUGUUUUUUGGGACGUAAGUAUUGAACCAAGUGUAAAAUUGAGAUGGAGAUUUGAGCAGACUACUAACCAGUAAUCAGUAGCUUUCGCCGCACAUCUGUAAGGGAUUGAAUACUUAUUAGCUUCUCCCUUUUGCAGGCAAUGGUAAAAUCAUGAAAGCAACAAAAACGAAAAGAGUUUCUUUAGUGUUUUGUUAUUUACAUAUUCAAAUGCCAAUUAUUAAUUUGAAAAAAGGAAGAAAGAUAGAAAAGCAUACCUUUAGUGUGCUGAAGGUAGCAUUCAGUUACAGAAGAUCCACAAGCUGGAUUGGACCAAGACAUAGUAAGAACAGAAUUUUCUUCCUGCAUCAUACUAUAUGGAAUUCCAUAAAUGUUGUACAUCUUGGUACAAGAUAACAAAUCAGAGUAACUGAUGGGAACACUUGAGUCAACGGCAUAAACUUCAUGCUUAAAAGUACUCAGACAUGGGAUUUUAUACAGAGACCUUUUCUCACUAGAAAGUGAACAAUUGAACAAGGUCCGAUUAUACAGCCAAUCGUUCAUAAUUUGGAAGGGAGAAGCCCCUAAACUGAAGUUUAAACGUUGCCUUGGAAAGCAACCUUGAGGAUACCUUGCAUAAAUAAGUUGAUGUCUAUAGUCAAUUCUUUCGAUGUGGAGACUCAAUCCAGUUGGCAGCUUAAGCACUGUGCUGUUGUCCUCUGAGCAGGAUAGAUCAUACCCAGGAUAGCCACAGUGGUCUGGUUGUUUGUCCUUGAUCCGGAAAGGAAAUCGGAUGUCAGGGCCGGGGUUUCCACAUGAUCCUGUGCAGUUCAAGCUUGCUCCAUGGCCUGCAAGGAAGACAAUGAAAAAGAAGAAGAAACACGUAACCAUUUCUGAUGAAUAAUUCAUCAUCUCCACACUCCUCCUAAGACUUUAUCUGCAUGUGCUGAUAUAGUUUAGGCCUUUCAGAAAACUCAUGUAGUCCUUAGAUGGGCGAGUACUGUAGUACACGCGUCCUUGCAUGAGAAUUUAUUUACUCCAUCGAUCUAGUGUGAUGCUCCUCCCUUUGACAUUCCUCCAAUCACAAACAUGUGGGAUCCCUAGCAAGAAUCUCUCUGUUGACAUAGCAUUCACAACUAAUAUGAAUAGGCACAUGGUAACAUGUUGAAUUUGGAAAUCUAGAACUGGCAGAAAAACUAGAUUCUAUGAAAUGAAUUUUAAUUAAAUGGUCGCCCUCUUAAUGCUUAUGCCAGAAGGGACUAGUAGUCAUGAUGGAUGCGAAAUUCUCAACAUGCAUAUUUGAAUGCAUUAUAUUUAAAUUGUGUUAUUAAUUCUUUUCUUCAUAAAAAGCUACAUACCAUUAACAAGAGAAAAGGAAACAGAAAUCUAAAUUUGUUUGCUGGGUCUAUGCUCUAAUUAGGUUUGGUUAUGUGUGCUUCUAUUCAUUUCUCUAAAUUCUAUAUAUGCAUUGGCCAGGAAAAAAAAUAUCACACUGCAUAAAUUUAUUUUAGAAAAUAACAUAUAUAUUUGAAUUUGUUAGGACAACUUGACUAGUGCAACAAGACAAAAAAAGAAGAAAAGAAAAAGAAAAAGAAAGAUAGCUGGGCCAGAUAAAAGGAAAAGGAACUAAAAAACGCAACUUCGUUACACCAAAAAGAAUGCUAGAAAAAUACUUUCUCAUCGUCAAUGUGAAAAAAGGAGGAAUCCAAACGCAUAUGCAAGUUCCAAAUCGGCUAUUAUGAAAAAUUACAUUAUUUAUGUACCCAAAAUCCAAAUCAAUUAUAACAACAGCUAAAACUACAUAAUAUUUUACUUUACAAGUUCACAGUGAAACACUGAGCUGUCUUUUUCUUUUCUUUUUUUGCUUAUUUGCUUUUUUAGUUGUUUUUUUUCCUUUUUUCUUUGUUUUUUAAAGUUGUUUCUUUUCUUUGUUUUAUUUUUAAUGAAUGUUUUUUUAAUUUUUUUUUUGUUAAUGUUAAAUUUUUUUCUAUUUAGUUAUCAAAUUUUUAUGAUACAGGUUUCGAGUUUAAUGGGUUAACCCAUAUUUUUUUUCUGGUUUUUCUUUAAUUAAUUUUUUUGAGUGCAGCCCACAGUGAAACGCUUAGCUAUCUUUUUUUUUCUGCUUUGUUUUUUUAAGCUGUAUUUUUUUUUUGUUUUUUUUUUUUUAAGCUGUUUUGUUUUCUUUGUUUUUUUUAAUGAAUUUUUUUUGUUUAUUUUUUUUUGUUAAUGUUAAAUUGUUUUCUAUUUAAUUAUCAAACUUUCAUUACAUGGGUUCCGGGUGUGACGAGUUAACCUGAAUUUUUUUUUUCUUUUUAAUUAAUUUUUUCGUUUAAUUUAGUUUGUUAAUGUUAAAUUUUUUUUAUUUAGUUAUCAAACUUUCAUGACACGGAUUCCGGGUUUGACGGGUUAACCCAUCUAAUUCUGAGUUAACCCGUAAUUUUUUUUUUCUAUUCAGUUAUCAAACUUUCAUAACACGAAUUCCAGAUUUGACGGGUUAACCCAAUUAAUUUAGAUUUUUUUUCUUUUUCUUCAUUAGUUUUUUUUCUAUUUAAUUAAUAUUAAAAGAAUGAAGUAAAUGAAUAAAUUGAGUGAUUAUUACCAAUGAGAAUUAUUGAUAAUUUAUAUGAAAUUACUAGAAUUAUGUGAAAGACCGCUUUAACUUUUUUAACCUGGUUGCUCUGUCUCAACCGAUUCAAUUAAUUUCUAGAAAUCAGUUUACUUUUAGCAUUUUCACUAUCUGUCCCUUACAACCGAAGGAAGCAUAUCUUAGAAUAUCUCAUGGAUUUGGACUGGAUUGGGUGUUUUGGUUUUUGAUGAGAUGCUCCAAGAAAAAUAUCAGGCUCGCUGGAUGUCGUUGUUUGUGGUAUUGACAGUUGAUGACUUUUUUUUUUUUAUUACUUUUCAAAGUUAAUGAUUCUGACAUUUCGAAGGAGGUGGGAAAUUAUCUUCGUCUGUGAAGUAGUGUUGAAUGGUGGAUCAAUAACUCACUGUCUGCUUUGCUACUAUUCCUAUCCGAUGACUCUGACAUUUCAAAGGACGACCAGGUAGGGGUGUUCUCCUUCACCUUUCAUUGCAUUAUCGGUAGCUUCCACUCCGAAAUUCAAUAGUUUUUGUUGGAGUAAAAAGAACAGGAAAAAAGAAGAACAGUUUGUGCAAAAAUUGCGUAUACACUGUGUAUCACUUCAGCCUUCCCCAUGUUUAAUUAGAGGAAUGAACGUCCUUUUUGCUUGCUACAUAGCUUUUCUUUUACAGCUAUUAGUCUUCCAAACUUGCCAUUCUAGCAACAUCACUGCUCAUUGUGCUCCUUCUUCAUGCGGCAACAUCCAAAACAUAAGCUACCCUUUCAGACUAGACACUGAUCCACAAAGCUGCGGAAACAAUAAUUAUACUCUGAUUUGCGAGAACAAUAUUUCUACAGUAUUAAAUUUGUAUUCAGGUAAAUACUACGUGCAGGCAAUCAACUACGGUAACUUCACAAUCCGAGUGGUAGAUGCUGGUGUACAAGAUAAUUGCUGCUCCAUCCCUCGUUAUUCUUUGGCACCUGAUAACUUCAGUGACGGAGAUCCGUACACAUGGUAUAACUACAAGCAGGUGCCGCGUGGAAUUUCCGUGUACUCUUGGCGGUACAAUUUACAUUCUACGCUAUCACUGCCUAUGAUUUUCAUGAGCUGUGAAAAUACGGUGAAUUUUCCUCUUUAUGUGGACACGGCUCCCUACGGAUCAGUAAAUUAUUCCAACUCUUCUCUUGUGACUCGUUCGAAUUAUGUGACUCUUGAGGUCAUGAGUGCCUCGGAUUUGAUGGAACUGUGCAGCAUAGAGAAAAUAUUUUUGCUUCCAAAGAAGAGCUACACAUACAAGUCCUUUGAAGAAAUACACAGUGACCUGGCAUAUGGGUUUGAGCUUUCAUGGUACAACAUAAACUGUGGAAAAUGCAGAAGAGGUUGCUACGUCAGCUGGUCAGACAAUCGUCGAUGCUUUGGUAUGUAACACUUGAUGAUUAAGUUGCAUCACUUUGAUUCAUAAGACCAUAUAUAACUUGUGAUUUGAGGUGGUUUCAUAUAUUUUCUCUGGCUUACUUUUCAAUUUUCAUUUUUUUCUGCGCAUUAGCACAAUAUUGCACUGUCCCCAGAUCGAUGUUCAUGUACAAAUUCUGUGCAUCCAUUACCUGUGAAUUCUACUAUAGUGGACUGAUCAUAAGAUUCAUUCAUGUUCAUAUUGUAAAAUAUUCUGACUAUAAUAUGGACAGAUUCAUUGGUCUUUUGCAAUUUCAGGAUUGACACAGUAAACCGUUUGGUUCAUCUUAACUUGACCAUGGAUACACAUUAAUUAGUUCAAGUCACAUUAUUAAAUUGUGUGCGCUCUUAUCUAUUUUUUUUUUCGCAUUUACUGUUACGUAUACCAUUAGAACUCUUUUUUAACCUAAAUUCUCGACAGAUUUUGGUGAAAGCAAUUGGCAACUUAUACUCUACAAUGUGACAGGUGCGAAUUCUAUUUCUACAUCUCACCAUGUUUGUGUAUUCUUACGUGUUUCUUUAAUUAAACUGUUAGAAAUAUUUGAAGAAGAAGAGUAAAAAUAGGAAUAUGAGAAAUAUGGUGAAAAACAAAUCUCAUAGUAAACUCCGCUAAGAGAGGAAGUCCUACUAGACUUGGACUUAGACUUGCAAUAUUUUUAAUAUAUAUUUAUAUUAGUUUAGGAUAAUUCAAGAGAUUUAAAAGAUAAAUAUAUAUUUAAGUAGUUACAUGUAUAUAUUUAGGAGACAUCUAGGAAAACUAAAACUAAAAGACACUUUAAAUGUAGACUUGAAAAUUAAUUCUAACAUAAACAACAUGUUUGUGAAAUAAGGAUUGUUGUUUCUUGAAUAGUAAUUGUAAUUUUGUUCACCAUUUUCUGCAGCUUUCCUCCUCUAUAUAUACGUUUCAAUUGGUAAGAGAUUCCUUCAUUUCUUUAGUUUCGCAACAUAUUUCUAGUGGAGACAACAAAUAAGAUCACAAAACUUGAUUGUUUUCUGGAAAUUUCCUACACAGCACUACUUCAUGUGCUAAAAGUUGUUUGUGGGACUCCAUGUGUGAUUAUAUUUUUGAUCUACAAAUGGCAAAGGAGACAUUUAUCAGUAUACGAUACAGUUGAACAAUUCCUACAAAGUCAGAAUAACCUGAUGCCAGUAAGGUAUUCCUACUCAGAUAUCAGGAAGAUUACUAGAGGUUUCAAGGACAAAUUGGGUGAAGGAGGCUUUGGUACAGUUUACAAAGGAAAGCUUCGCAGUGGGUGUUUUGCAGCAGUAAAAUUGUUGGGAAAAUCAAAAGCUAAUGGACAGGAUUUCAUAAAUGAAGUUGCUACCAUAGGAAGGAUUCACCAUACUAAUGUGGCGCAGCUAAUCGGUUUUUGCGCCGAAGGAUCAAAGCGUGCUCUUGUAUAUGAUUUCAUGGCUAAUGGAUCUCUUGAUAGACACUUGUUUUCUCGAGAAGGAUCAAUCUCUUUAAGCUGGCAAAAACUGCAUCAUAUUUCCCUUGGAGUGGCUCUUGGUAUCGACUAUCUUCAUUUAGGCUGUGACAUGCAAAUACUUCAUUUUGAUAUCAAGCCUCACAACAUUCUUCUCGAUGAAAAUUUCACUCCAAAAGUCUCUGACUUCGGGCUCGCUAGGUUGUACCCAAACGAAUGGCAGCAUCACAUCUCUUACUGCAGCAAGGGGCACCAUAGGAUACAUGGCUCCUGAAUUGUUCUACAAAAACAUUGGACGUGUCUCCUAUAAAGCUGAUGUUUAUAGCUUCGGAAUGCUGCUAUUGGAAAUGGCAGGCAAAAGGAAAAAUGUAAACGCGUUGGCAGAAAAUUCAAGUCAAAUCUACUGGCCAUAUUGGGUUCAUGACCAAGUAUCUGAUGGAAAGGCCAUAGAAAUCGGAGACGAUGCCACGGAGGAAGAACGUAAGAUCGUCAAGAAGAUGAUUAUGGUUGGAUUGUGGUGUAUACAAAUGAAACCCAUGGAUCGGCCUACAAUGAGGAAUGUUGUGGAGAUGCUGGAAGGAGAUUUGGAAAACUUGCAAUUGCCUCCUAAGCCUGUCUUCAAUCUAGAUGUGACGCCACCAAACAUUGAAGGAGAGUCAUCAUCGUUGCCAGGUGAUUCUACCGAAUCAACCAGUUUGGUUGAAAAUGCAUACUAAGUUAUAUGAUGUGGAAUGCUAUGCUUACAUGCAGGGAAAAUGAAUAAUGGUGCUUUCGGACUUGGUUAUGAUAAUUUGCAAUACUUGCUUUUAUCUGAUUUGUGUUUAGCUAAUUUAGAGUUCAAGCUGCGGCUUGUUUCUUCGGUGUGGUCUAUAUAAUCAUCAUACAAAGAUGUUCUGUAUUGUGUUUAACUAUCAGAUUUCCACUCUGUUUGGCAAUCAUAGCAGUUGGCGAGGAUGGAACAUCCUCCAUGAUAACUGUUCCAUGUUCUACAUAUUAAUUAUCCUAUAUUUUUCUCCAACAGAAUAAUAUUUUGGCUACAAAUUAACAAGAGACUAUCACAGGGAUUAUAUAAACAAGUUGAUGCAUGAAAAGACGAGUCUCUAUUUAUAGGUAGCCACUACAAGUAGCUUCGGAGACCACAAAUACAAGUCAAGUCUCUCUAGUAAUCCUUCCACUAUAAGUAGCUUCGGAGAUAGAAAAUAGCGAUUUAUUUGCUAUCAUAGGGAUGAUUCUGAACAGAGGGGCUUAAUUUCAUUUUCUUCCACCAACAAUGCCUUCUUGUCAAUGUUCAGCCCCAUGAUAAUCGAUCUAGCGUCACCAUUUGCACAUUACCAUAUCUUGCAUAAGCCACGAGGAACCAAUCACAACAAAACAGGAUUGAAAACCAUGACCAUAACGGGUGCUGUGAAAUGAAUAUUGAAACAGAUGGGUGAAUUUGAUGCAGAAAAGUAGAGAGGAGACAAUGAAGCUUGCUUACCGGUCAUGGCAUUUCACCAGGGAGCUCUGCUUCUUCAAAAAUGCUCAACUGUGUUCAACAACCUUUCAGGAUCUGCUUCAAUUUUCUUAAGAGAAUGGGAAACAGUGAACGGGAUCCUCGUUAGCUGCGGGCAAUCACCGACUGUAAUUUCCUCAAGAGAAUAGAAGACUUCCAGAAUAAAUGCUAUUCAAAUUAUGACAUUUGUUCUACGAGAUAUUCCCACUUUCUCAGGAUGAAAAUCAUCCCACAAAUCAUCAAGAAUGAUAACAUGGUUUUGAAUCGCACUCAAUGCUGUCCUUAGCUCCCCAGCUCUACUCGUCACAUCUUUUCCUUUCGGAAGACAUAAACCAAAAGCUUCCUCAAUGAGAUCCUGCAAUGCGUGAAUGCUAAAUUCUUGUGACAUAGCAAUCCAACAAACAUGAAAAAAAAUGUCUGGUUUAUCUUGAACCUGGUUAUGGAUAUGUGCAGCCAAAGUUGUCUUUCCCACUCCUCCCAUCCCGUAAAUGCCAAUGCAUGAGACCUCACCACUCAACAACCAAGACCAGACAUCCUUCAUGUUUCUUUCAAUAGCUUGACCCACUAGCUUCGUUGUCGGGAAUACAUAUCUUUUAGUCCUGCGUCGCUUAUGUACAGGCCUUUUAGAAUAGCUUACCGUGUAAAUUCUCAAGUCAUGUUCUCUAUAUAAAUUCUUAACAAAACAUCCCUCGUUGAUGAGGAUGAGAUGUUAUUCGAGAUCAUUUCAAAUGCCUGACAUGUUUUCUCUGUUCUCUGUCUGGUCUCGGGUUCAUCUGGCAUAAGUACAACAUGAGCUCUAGGUUCCUCAACAAUCUCAGUCUCCCCAUCCUAGGCCCCCAUCAAAAAGAGGAGGUUCUUCUUGUUCCAUUUCUAAACACCGCACAGGAGUUGAAGCUGCAUUAAUUGCCUCGUUAUUGCUUGAACUUGGCACGCUCCUAUCUACAGGCCUGUUAGAAGAGCUUCCUCUCUCAGCAACAGACUGCAUCAAUUCCCAAGUCAUGUUCUUUAUACCACUGCUCGACUCAGCAUCCUUCAUCAAGGAAGACGAGAUGCUAUUCAUAUCCAUUUCAAAUGCUUAACCUGCUGGCUCUGUUCCCAAUCCAGUCUCAGGUGCAUCAGGCAUAAGCAUGCUAGGAACCAUGGUCUCCUCAUCAGUAAGCACAAUCUCUCCCCCAAUCAUCCUAUCCAUCCACGCCAAUCCAUCAUCCAAAAGAGGCUGUCCUUCUUUACUGUGGACAGCACGCCAACAUUACAAAUGAAGAGAAAGAUCACAUCCACAGAUGGAGAGAAAGCAAUAGGCCAAGAAAAGAGUAGAGUUGACCUUGAGAGCAGUAUGUUCACAGACGGAGACGGUGGAGAAUGAGACUAACAAAAAACCUUUAAGUUGGCGUGCUGUCCACAUUAUAUAUGUAUGGUAUUCAUUAUCGGUUCUUUUAAUUAUACUCAAAUCCUACUCAAACGAUAACUGUCAUGUAGGGAUUUGAUCUUCUACUUAGAUGGUCUAACAGAUUUUUUAUUAAUAAGUAGGACAAGCCUAAACUUAAUCGAAGAUUUGAUUAUUUGCUAGGUCGAUAUCUUAAAACUGAGAUAUCUAGAAAUUCGAUCGUUGAAUUAAAUUUAAAUUUUUUUUUAAGUGAUUAAAAAGACAGUUUUCCUAUAAAAAGCAAUUGUGUAUCUUUUUACAUGAUUUGGAGUCUGGAUGCCCUUGUUUUGGCCAAUUUUGUUAUUUUUCCUAGGGUGUUUCAAAUUUCUUGUAUUAUUAUAGGUUUUGUUUUAUUUUUUUUUUAAUUUUUGGACUUUGAGUUGUCUCUUAGUGAGUUAGAUUAAAAAGGUAAUUCUUCUAGGCACUUAGACUUGGUAGUGUAUCAAGUCUAGGAUAGCGUUUGUUUAACACACAUGUUAAACCCAAUACGUUUAAAUUUAACAGUCAAUUAAACUCAAUGUAAUAUAAAUAAGUAGUGUAGGCCUGAUACACAUGCGAAACCUAAGACCACGUACAAAAUAAUAACUAUCAUCUCUUAACAUGUCUAUGAAAAUGACCAACCUCCCUUUGGCUCUCUAAACAACUGGAAAACACAUUAUCAGCACUGGCGUUGUAGACUGUCGUCUGCCUAGGAUAAAUAUGAAAUGUUUAAGUUGAUGCUGGAAAUCUGAAAUGUUAAUUUCUAUCACCCUCCCGAUCACUCACAUAAAUAGCAUGACGUCAUACCUUUACUAUGAGGUAAAGGUUCCAAUACCAAAAUACAAAACAAUCCCUGGAAAUCAUAAAAUCCUAAUUUCAUCCCCGGAAUAAUAGCAAAUGACUAGAAAUCAUGGAACAUGCUCAACUGUGUUCAACAAACUUUCAGGAUCUACUUCAAUUUUCUUAAGAGAACGGGAAAUAGUGAUCGGGAUCCUCGUUAGCUGCGGGCAAUCACCCACAGUAAUUUCUUCGAGAGAAUCGCAUAGAAGUCUUCCAGAAUAAAUGCUUUUCAAAUUUGGUAAUUUCUUCAAUACCAAAACCCUCAAUUCAUCAAAUCUACGAAUAGGAGAGGAACUUCCCAUUAUCUCCUGCAUGUUGUAACAAUCUUCGACUACAAUCACUUCCAAUCGGAGUGUAGACAACAACCAAUGAGGGAGCAGCACCUUCAUCCUAUGACAUUUAUGUAUCACCAUCUCUCUGAGUUUCAAAAAGGCACCAAUAGCACCUCGCUUUGAAUGUACUUCAAAAACGGUUUCUAAGAUUAUCAAACCAUCAAGGUGUAGAAUCUGAGGCCCUCCAAUUACAACUGAUGGAAAUAAGCUUCUCAUGUUUUGACAACUCACAAAUACUACUUUUGUAAUGAGGCACGGGAACAGAAAAGUUGCAUUGUCAAUCAUGAGGUCAUAAAACCAAGCCUCUUUAAUUAACCCUGACUCUGAUCUUGCAUAAUUUAGAUCCUCGAGUGAAGAGAAACAAGGUCGUCCUACAGUAACCUUGCAUGCAAUUAGUGAACAUCUCUGUCCGCGACGGAAAACUCUGAAAUCGUGUAGAUCACGGAAGUUGCAUUCCAAAGUUUCCAAAUGAUAUAAUGUGGAAACUUCAUCUCCUCUAACUGAGAGAACAACUUCAGAUUUCUGAUGAAGCUUGAGGAACUGUAAUUUUGAGAGUUGGGGUAAAAUACCCGACCGUAAAACACGCACCCCACUUCCAUCAAGAUUAAGAUACCUUAGAUCCUCCAGCCGUUCCAUUCCCUCGGGCAAAUCUUCAAGUCCAGUGUAACUGAGAUCCAACUUCUCCAAUGCCUUAAGCUUUGCUAAUGAUGGUACAUAACUCAGCUUUGCACACCAUCCCAGCAACAAUGCAGUUAGACUCGUCAGAUGACAAAUAGAAUCCGGCAACUUCUCUAUAUCUGUGUCGGAAAGAUCAAGAACCUUGAGUCCGAUGAGGUGCUGGAAAAAAGAUUCCUCAACCAAAUCCAAUUUGUAGUUUCUGCAUAACAAUAAUGUUGAGAGACGGGGGCACAUUGGUGAAAAGUCUGUUGGAAUAUUCUCGAUUCUAUUUUCCAUGAGUGAAGCUCUUAACAGUUCCUCUCUCCACAAUCUUACAUCGGGUAAUUCUGUUAGUUGUGCACCUGCUUGAACCAUAGCCCCCCCACUUUCGUUCAAUAUUUUCCAAGCCAUAUCCCAAAUCAAAUCAUGCAUCUUGACAUAUCUGUAAUCUUCAUCGUCCCUGGAACCUUCUAAUAAGCUGGCAUCUUCAAGUUGAUCAAGCAUGGUAUGGCCCCUAUCAAAUCGUGCAUGCCUUCGCCCCAUUUCUUUGACUAUACCCUCGUCAAUCAAAUACUCUAUCAAGUCCUCUCUCAAGAUGAUCUUGCCUUUUGGAAAUAGUGUGAUAUGUAAGAAGAACUCUUGAAGUGCUGAAUCGUUCAACUGAGCAUAGCUAAAUUUCAAUACUCGAAAUACAUUGGCUUCCAUCUCACCUGGUCCAACUUCUAAUCUUCUCAGUUUUAGCAAUGCAUCUCUCCAACGAUAUUCACCAUCCACUCCCUUCAUGCUUCGAGCCAUUGUCAUGAUUCCAAGGGGCAAACAAGCACACUCCUUCACAAUAGACUCUGCGAUCUCAGGAUAAAGUGUACCACCACGCCCUAAUCUGUAUAUGAACAAAUCCCAAGCCUCGCCCUCAGAAAGAGACUCCACUUUGAUUAUCCUUUGGCAAUCCAUUUUUCGACAUAUCUCCGAUGAUCUUGUUGUGAGAAGCAACUUCCACCCGUCUGUUCUAAGAGGUAUUCCCACUUCGUCAGGAAGAAAAUGACCCCACAAAUUAUCAAGAAUUAAAACACCUUUUAUCACACUCAAUGCUGUCCAUAGCUCCCUGGCUCUAAUCAUCACAUCUUUUUCAUUCUGAAGACAUAAACCAAAAGCAUUGGCAAUGAGAUCCUGCAGUGCGUGAACGCUAAAUUCUCGAGAGUCAGUAAUCCAAUAGACAGGGAAAAAUGUCAGGUUUCUCUUGAAGUUGAUCAAGGAUAUGCGUAGCCAAAGUUGUCUUUCCGACCCCCCCCAUCCCGUAAAUGCCAAUGCAUGAGACCUCAUCAUUCAACAACCAAGAGCAGACAUCCUCCUUAUUUCUUUUAAACGCUUGGCCCACCAUCUUCGUUGUCAGAUCAUAUCUUGUAGUCCUAGGACGCUUAUGUACAGGCCUUUUAGAAGAGCUUCCUCUCACAACAAAAGACUGUUCUUUGUCUAGUCUCGGGUUCAUCUGGCAUAAGAACGACAGGAGCUCUAGGUUCCUCGACAAGCUCAGUCUCCCCCCCAAUCAGAAAACCCUUCCGUCCUCGUUCAUCCGAAAGAGGUUGUUCUUCUUGUUCCAUUUCUAAGCCCCGCAAAGCAGUUGACGCUGCAUUAAUUCCCUCGUUAUUGCUUGAACUUGGCACACUCUUAUCUACAGGCAUUUUAGAACAGCUUCCUCUCUCAGUAACAGCCUGCAUCAACUCCCGACUCUCUAUACCACUGCUUAACUCAACAUCCCUCGUCAAUGAAGAUGUGAUGUUAUUCAUAUCCGUUUCAAAUGCUUGAACUGCUGGCUCUAUUCCCAAUCCAGUCUCAGGUGCAUGCUAGGAACCAUGGUCUCCUCAGGAAGCACAAUCUCUUCCCAAUUCAAGCUAUCCAUCCAUGAAAAAUCAUCCAAAAGAGACUGUCCUUGUUGUUGCAUUUCUAAAUCUUGCGCAGGAUCUGAAUCUGCAGUAACUAUUAUAUUAUUGCUUGAACUUGGCAUGCUCCCACGCAUUCUGUCAGGAAGCUUAUCAAACGCUGCUCGUUGAACAUCUGGAGUUACUUUUUCACAAAUUUUAACACCACCACCUCCAACUCUUUCCAGAUGAUAUUUCAUCCUUGUAGUGGAAGUACUUCCAGCCAAUGUCUUCUCACAAAAAAUGCACUUCAAUAAACCACCAUCCACUUUCUCAAAAUAACUCUGAAAUGGAUCACUUCCUCCAGCCAUUUUUUCUUCUGUGUCCCUACAUACAGACAUAACAAAGAACUUUCAGAAUAUUGAAUUAAAAUGGAACUUAAACUAAUUGAAAAAAAGAAGAAGCUAAGUUUAAGAUAAAAAGAAAAUUGAUUACAGGUGUUUCACUGUCUAAACCAAAGUCAAGUUAAACCACUCCAAAGAUCAAAGUGUUCUUUUCUUUUUACUUUCCCAAUAAUUCUACAACUGGUCAUAUCAGUAAUUUAAUAACCAGUAUGUUUCUUUUUGCUUAGAAGAAUCAAACUACAUGAGUUGGAAAAGAAAUGGUAUGAAAAAAGAGCUAAAAUUAAUCAAACUUAAUUACCUGAACAGCAGAAGCAGCAAGAUGUUAUCCAAUGGUCUGAUUAAAUCAGAAAAAAAGAAGAUGGACGGGGAAGAGUAAGUGUGUUGGAGACGAGUGAUAGAGCUUCGGCUUGCGUGGUUGUGGAUAAGGAUAGAUUCAGACAGUCAGAGAAGCAGAUGACAGUGAAAAAAAGUUAAAUUGACUUCUGUCGUUCAUGGAUGUCAUAUGGACAUGUUGUUGGUCUUCCAGGAAGCGGAUCCGGCGAGGGGUGCUCUAGUGAAGGCGUGGGGGUAGGCGGUGGCUGAUGAUAGUCUCCUCGUGUGGUGGACAGCACGCCAGCUUUGCAAACGAUGAGAAAGAGCACGAUCCACCACAAAACCGCAGAAGAGAAAGCAGCAGGCCGAGAGAAGAAAAGGGAGCAGGAGCAGAGUUGACCGAGAGAGAAGUAGAGCUUGUUAGAGCAUCUAUUAAAUAGCCGAAUGGAAAAAACGGGUUUUUAAAUAGUAUAAAUAUAACUUUUUUAAUUAUAUGUAUUUCAAUAAUAAAAAAUUAAUUAUGUUUUAAUAUAUUUUAUGUUAAAUUAAUUUUAAUAUAAUUAUAUAACUAAUUUAGAUAUUUUAUAUAUAAUAUAAUUAUGAUGUUAUUAAUUAUAUAAUUAAUAUGAGUAGUUUAUAAAAGUAAUAUAAAAUUAAUGAAGUAAUAUGAAAGUUAAAAGAUAUAAUUUAAAAUUGAAUUUAAAAUUUAUUUAUAUGAAUAUCUUUAAUUUUAAGUUUUAUAUGUUAUUGUUAAAUAUUUAAUUUCUUAAAAAGUAAAUUCAAAUUCAAACUUUGAAAAAAUGAUCGCCAACAUUUUAAAUUUUAAAAUUUUAAAUUUUGAAAAAAUUACCGCCAACAUUCUAAGAUUUUACAAUUUGAAAAAAUAAUCCAUCUAUAAAUAUUCUCAUAUACCUUAACAUUUUUUCUCGUCAUUUUCUUCUCUCUAAUCUUUGUUAUAUUUCAUUAAAAUUCAUCAUGAAUCAUUCUAAUUUUAAUUUUUAUGAUGCUUUUGAUUUUGAUGAUGACACUCUUGUGUUUGUUUUUCAAGUUGCUACUGUUGUGGUUGCUGAAGAAGAAUCGAAUAAUCAAGGGUGGAGAACAGGGUAUCGUGCCUCUAUUUCUGGUCACAAUAUUGUCAAUCGUAAUAGAAAGGAAGGUGAGUUAAGGUUAUAUAAUGAUAAUUUUGCAGAAAAUCCUAAAUUCACUGAAAGUCAAUUUCGAAGAAGAUUUAGGAUGAGUCGUCGUCUUUUUCUUCGGAUCGCAAAUGCAGUGGAAGCUUACAAUCCAUAUUUCAAACAAAGAACAAAUGCUCUUGGUGUUCUUGGUUUAUCUUGCCUUCAAAAGGUAACUGCAGCUCAUAAAAUACUUGCAUAUGGUAUUCCUGUAGAUCUUAUUGAUGAAUAUCUUCGAAUUGGAGAAACCACUGAAAUAGAAAGUCUUAGAGCUUUCGUCAAAGCAAUCGUAGAAGUUUUUGGUGAUUGGUAUCUAAGGACACCAAACAAGGUCGAUAUUUGUCGAUUAUUAUCAAUUGGAGAGCAACGUGGAUUUCUAGGGAUGUUAGGGAGCAUUGAUUAUAUGCAUUGGAAAUGGAAGAAAUGCCCAAUUGCAUGGCCUAGGAUGUAUACUGGUCAUUGUCGUGAACCAACUAUAAUUCUAGAGGCGAUGGCUUCACAAGAUCUUUGGAUAUGACAUGCCUUUUUUGGAAUCCCUGGAUCAUUAAAUGAUAUUAAUGUUCUUGAUCGGUCACCUAUCUUUGCUGCACUUGCUGAAGGUUGUACUGCUCAUGUCAAUUAUACAAUUAAUGGGCAUGAAUAUACAAUGGGAUACUAUUUAGCACAUGAGAUUUAUCAUAAUUGGUCAACCUUUGUUAAGACAAUCUCAAGACCAUUAGGAGCAAAGAGAAAAUAUUUUACAAGCAAGCAAGAGUCUGCAAGAAAAGAUGUGGAGCGGGCAUUUGAGGUGCUCCAAUCUCGUUUUGCAAUUGUACGUGGACCUGUUCGAUACUGGGAUGAAGAAACACUUGCAUAUAUUAUGAAAGCUUGCAUAAUAAUGCAUAAUAUGAUUAUUGAGGAUGAAGGAGCAAUGAACCUUGGAUUUGACCAUGAACAUGAAGUCAAUUCCUUUAUAUCAAUGUCAUAUGGUGAAAUACCAGAACUACAUGAUUUUUUUCAAACUCAUAAUCGAAUUAGGGAUAGAGCAACUAGCUCUCAACUACAAGAAGAUUUGAUUGAACAUUUAUGGGAACAAUAUGGCAACGAGUAGAAUCUUUAAAUUUGAACUUCUUAUGUUAUCAUAAUUUUCAAGUUUUUUAUGUUUUUUUUUCAUUAUGGUUGUUAUCUUUUAAGUUAAUUAAUCCUACUUAUUAUUGUUAAGUGUUAGAGAAACUUCAAAAAAGUAUUAUGAAUUAAUAUCAAUUUCAUAACAAUAUAUUUAAAAUAACCAGGAAUUUUCUACAUAUUUAAUUAAAAAUACAUUACAUUACAAUAAAUCAAUCAAAGUUAAUUAAAAAUUAAAACCCCUCUUUUGUAUAAUUUCUAACUUUUUAUUUUGAAAAUACGCUGCAGAAAUUAGAUCCAAAUUAGAAAUAUUCAUUUUCAUAAUUUGUUCUUCUUUCUCAAUCCUGUCCAAUUCUUGUUUCUCUUGACUUUGUUGAAUCAUCAUAGCUUGUUACUCUAACAUAAUUUUCCUGUCUUGUUUCUUCUGAUCCUCAAUUUCAACUAGAGUAUCCCUAAAUUGUUUCCUUGUCUACGUUUAAGUCGUUUCUUUGCAACCUUCUGACCGAUUGGUCUAUCUUGAUAAAUCAAUGGUUCACUAUCUUCUCCUAAACUAACAGAAUCAGGGGUAGAUGGAGUUGAUGAAGCCGGACUUGCAUUGACAUGACUUUUUUGUUUCUUGUUUGACCUUUGAUGUUGACUUGCACGCUCAAAUUGCCAUUUGGGCUCUUUUCUUAAGAUAACCCAAUAAUGUUCUAGUUGAAAUUGUUUGUCAAUGCAAGAAACAUACAUUUGCCAAGCAUCAUUAAUCUGGUAAAUAAAUUAAUUAAUUAAAUAAUGUUAAAAUAUGUGUUAAACAAUUUAACAUAGAAAUGAAUAUUAAAAUUACCCUUGAUUCUUCGGUCAUUCCAUUUUGCUGACGAUUUUUAAUUUGAGUAACAAAUCCAAUAAAUUUACCGACUUCUCUAUUUAUUUCUUGCCAUCUACUUGAGAUGCUUAUUUGGGAACGAUUAUUCAAGUUUCCUCCAUUCUCUACAAAGUAAGUAUGUACUCGAGCCCAGACUGUUUUAUUUGUUGUUCAACUCCUGUAAUUGGAUCCUUGCUUGUAUUUAGCCAUGUAGGGACAAGUAAACAAUCUUUCUCUGGUGAGAAAUUUUUACUUCUUUGUGAUUUUUUUAUCGAAUGGAUAUUUAAAUUCGAGUCUGUUAAGUCAUCAAUUAAUUGAUUAGAAUCACUUGGUUGAGAGAGAAUAUCUUCUGACUCACUCAUAAGAAAGUUGGUAAAAGAGCUUAGAAAAUUUGAAUCUAUCUACAUUAAAAAAAAAAUCUCAAGUUAAAACCUUAUAAGAGAGUGUAAAAGAAGCUCACAUUCAAUGUCUAGCAAUUUUGUAGUUUGCAUACAUGUGAAUUAAUAAUAAGCAUUGCCUCCUACAUAUUCUGAUAUAACAAUUUGACUAUUUUUUUGGAACUAAAAGAGAAUUGAUAUACUGGUUUAAUUAUAUUUUCAACAAGACAAAAUAUAAUUGACCUCAAAUUAAAACAGACAAUCAAAAAUAAAUUUUAAAUAUAUCACUCUAUCUUUUUAUCAAUAUCAACUACCAUUAUUAAUUCCUCUCAAUUUUAUCAAAGAUAUCAACAUAAAUAAAAAUUGUCUUUCUUAACCCAUAUUAAAAACAUAAAAUAAUAAAGAAAUAAAAAUCAUCACAAAUAUUAAAUUAACAACAAAAGAUCUAAAAAAUCAAGAGAUAUAAAAGAGAAUAAAAAAAAGCUUUUAAACAAGCAUACCUUUUAAUUUCAGCUAAUUAACACAACUGAUAUUAUUAAUUAACCGGAGAAUAAUUGAUUCUUGUUUUUUUAAAUUUGAGAGAAGGGUGAGGCACAAUACAAAAUUUUAAAAUCUACAAGUUCUUUCCUCCUAUAUUUAAAGAAAAACAAAAAGAGUUGUUGGCCAACGGCCAAGGUUGUCAAAAACGCUUUUUUGACACGACACGGAACAUUCAAUUUAAACUCGACUCGUAAACUCGAAUCGUAAAAUCGGAAGUAAAAAUUUUUAACUAAAAAUCGUAAAAUCGGAAUUAAAAUAUUUUAACUAAAAUCGUAAAAUCGCAAGUAAAAUAUUUUAAACAAUACAAAUAUCCAAACAUAUUAAAAUACAUAAUUCAAAUAAAAGUAAAAUAAACAAUACAAAUAUCCAAACAUCUUAAAAUACAUAAUUCAAAUAAAAAUUCAUACAUGUCCAUAGUAUUUAAAAAGAUUCCAAAGCCAACAACUCCAUGUAUCAAGAUCAAGCUAAAAAUGGCAAUGGAAUGGGUGCACGUUUGCAUGAUUUGGCAGAACAAAUGAAUAAGGAAGCUAAAGGAGACCAAUUGCGUUACUUAAAAAGAUUGUUCAUCACAUUUAACUGAUUGAUAUACUGGCAAAAAAAGCUUAAUGAAAUGCCUCAAUCACUAAAACAAAAACUAGUGUAGUAAUCAUCAACUCAUAGCAUCUAGGUUAUAUCUUGGACAUUAUUCUGACAAGGAAAUAUGAUAAAACAAGUGCAAUGCCAAAGCAUGCAAAUGGUCACACACUCACAGUCUCACACUCUCUAUUCCGAAAAAAAAAAAAAAACAGAAUACACUCAAUACAGUGCAAACCAAAUAUCACUAAAUCAAAGCCUUGCAGGAUGAUAACAUUUGAGAGAUGCAGUCCGCUUUAAAUUGCUAUCCAGUAAUACACAAAAAGCCUAGAUAAAUUAAAUGCAAAAGACAUUCCAAAUAGGUGCAUCAAUUGCCCUAAAGUUUGCAGUUUUUGGAUUUACAGAAUACCUGCAAUCCUGAAAAUUGGAAUGCUUCCUUGCUUCGCUGGAUCGUUGUCUAUGCAGAUUGCAGAAUUAUAGAAUCUGCAACACCAAAGCAAGCAAGAUCAAACAGAGCAUAGGUGAACAUUAAAAGAAAUCUGGCUUUGCUUGUAAUUAAAAUCGCCAGUCAAAGUGCCAAGCUCCAUUUCCUUCCCUUUGAAUGGGAUUUUCUUAUCAAAUCUUUUUUUCUUUUUAAUGGAUUCCAACGUCAUUAAAUGCUUCAUUGAAGUGAAAAAAUGACUAGGGGAAAAAUGCAGAAAUCUACCAUUUACUUCAGCCCAUUUGCACUUAUGGUGACUGUGAUUUCCUCCGUUGGCUUUUAUCCUUUUUCCAUAAGUAAAGUUGCCUAUACAAGUCCUUAAACUGUUUAAUUUGUUGCAAUUGAUUACCAAUCCUUUAAUGUUUGAAAAUUGGUCUAAUUAUGUUAUUUUAGCCUAGAAAAUAGAAUUGGUUGAUGGUAAAUAGCCUGGCAGUGCAGGUAAAAGUUAGCAUAAAUGCUUAUCCAAAGCUCAGUAAACCAUUGUUAGAAUACCCAGAAGCAAACCACUAAUUUUUAGAAUACCCAGAAGAUAAACAAUGAAUUUCACAGCAUACCCAUAUCAUUUUUUUUUAUCUCUAAUCACCACCAUUAGACAGAAAAAAACAAAGCUUGGGAUUGAGAAUCAAUUCUUACCUUCAUCUCACCAAGAACGCUCUGGAUCGGGGGGGAAUGAUUUCUUGAUUUGCUGGGGAAAGGGGAAAGGGAAAAGGGAAAAGGGAAAGGGAGUCAGGAGGGAGACUGGGAGCAGGGAGAGUGUGAGACAGAAAGGGAAUGAUUUCUUGAUUUCUUGAAGUCACUGGUAGGGUGAGGGUGGUCGCCUGGUCGGGUGGGAAUUGGGAAAGAAAAGAGAUUGUGAAUUUGUGAGACAGGGACAAAGUCAAAAUUUUUGCAUUUCUAAUUGCAUUCGGUCAGGUGACAUUUUGGUUAAGUCGUGAAAACGUAACGUUUUUAACGUUUUUGCGAGUUAUUACGGUUUUAUGCGAUUUUGAUGAUUUUCGAUUUUUGUCUUCGUCUUUACACGUUUUAUGGGUUUUAACUCGUAAAAUCGUAUGAUUUUACGAGUUAAAACGCAUUUUUAACAACCAUACCAACGGCUAUAAAAAUAGCCCUUGGCCAACAAUUAUUUGUUUUUGUCAUUUCUACAGGGAAAUAUAGAAAUGGCUAGCCAGUGAACAAAUAGCUAAAAUAGCUAUUUGUUUGGGUGCUGCGUUAGAGUGAAGAAAUGAAAAGGUAAAAGCUAAAAAUACACUUUUUAAUAUUUGACUCAUGCGUUGGAGAUGCUCUUAAAGCAAUUCAAUUAAUAUAAAAUAAAUAAAAACUUGUAUACAAAGGUUAGAAUUUAUUUAUUCAUUUAUUUAUUUUAAAAGUAUAUAUUUUAAUCUAAAUAUAAAGUAAUUAUAUAUAGACUAAAUUAAAAAUAUUUUUUAUUUUUAAUAAAAAAACAAGAUAAAUAUAUAUCUUUUAACAGGCUCUCAAACUCGCGAUGUGACAUCUACAAGUAUUGAGAGUUUAUCAAUUAGAAAACGAAAAUGAGAAAUGGAUUGCAACUUGGUAAAGAAAUCUGUAAUUUGCAAUGAAAAAAAACAAAAGGCAAAAUAAUGGUAUCAUGCUUGAGAUGAUAGCGAGUAAAAUAACAAUUGAUCUCAAUAUAUUUAGUUCAUUCAUGAAAAAUUAAAUUGUAAAUAAUAUAAAUUGAACUCUAAUUGUUAAAAUUCAUAGAAAUAGAAUAAGAAAAUUUUUAUUGAACUCCUAUUAAAAAAAAAUUCACUAAUACAAAUAUCUUUUUUUAUUAUUAUUAUUAUUCUUUUUCUUCUUCUUCUUUUUUUGCUAGAAUGUGAUUAUCAAAUCAUUUGCUCUCUCCUAAAACUUUUGUGAUAACUUUCCUUUCUUUUUUCAAAAUCCCAAGAUUGAAAUAUGAAAAAAAAAAAAAAUAAAGUUUGAUAAUGAAACAUCAAUCUCUAAAACAAUAGGAAUCAAAUAACAAAAAAAUUGAAAUUUUAAAGAUUAAAUUAAAAUUUUUCAUGUCAAAAUCUGAAUGGUGUAUUUCUUUUUUUUCUUCGUUAAAUCUGGUUUUUGUUUCUUUUAAUUUUUGAUUUGGAACCACAAUUAAAUUUCAAAUUUAAAAAAUCAGAAUCAAACUCAAAUUUAAAUAUCCUUAAAACCAAGCAUGCAAGAGAUAAUGUAAAUCAAAAGAAAUACAAACAAAUGAUACCAUGAUAAUAUAAUUCUAAAGGAUAAAAUUAUAAAAAUAAAAAGUUUAAUAAUCAAAAUUAAAAAUAUAUUAUUCUUAUAAACAGAUGAAUCCACAAUAAAAUAAGUAAAAUAAGUAUGCGUAAAUCAUAUUUGUGCUACAAUUAAAGACCCAUAUGUUUUAGUCAAUGACUAGUAGCGGACCCAUACUAUAUCAUAAGGUUAGAUUUUCUUUUUGUGUAAAAAUUAAUGUUGAGGUGUUGCAAAUAUAUUUUUAAGCAUGAAGAAGAAUUCUCAUUUUAGGUUAUAGACUUGACCAUGUCAAAUAGGAUAGUUUAUUUUAAUUAGAUGAUAGAAAAAAUAGAGUAAUGGAAAUAGAUGUACAAAAUUAAAGAAAAAGUCAUGAUAAUAUAGGGAAAAACUUUAGAGGAUGAAGUUGCAAGAAUUAAAAGUCCAAUAACUAAAAUUAAAAAAAUGAUCUGCUCAUAUGUACAAUCAAAUCCACGACGAAAGCAUGAACAUUGUUUGGUGCCAUAGUAAGAGAUCCUAUGUUCAAGCUAUUUCUGUAAUAAUCUCUAACUGUAAUUUGAGUUCGUCAUCCAAUUGUAAGCUACACGUCGUCUGUGAUUGUCAGUUUUCUAUUCAGACAUUCUGUGAAUAGUCAGUCAAAGUGAAAUACAAGAAAACAAAUCCCUCUCUCCUCUCCCCGCUCUGUAAACUCUCCUUUUAGGUAGCCAUGACUGCGGCCACCAAGAAACACCUACCCUCCUCCGCUAAGCCACCCAAGAACCACCACUCUACCCCCAACACCACCACCACAACAACCCCACAACCUAACAUCACUCAAAACCCUAACCCAACCACCAAUCCAUCACCACUAUCUCCCACCCUCAAAGACCAGGUUUUGUCACGCGCCACCCACAUCACGCACCAAGAACUCCUCAAAAGAAGGUCUUACAAGCUAAAACAGCUCUCAAAAUGCUUCAAAGAUCAUUACUGGGCAUUAAUGGAAGAACUCAAGAUUCAGUACAGAGAGACUUUUUUUGUCUUAUUUUUUUAUAUUAAUUUUUUCUCCUUUCAUAUAAUUAUUUUAUUUUCUUUUAAUUUUUACUUUAUUAACAAAUAAAAUGAGAUAUUUUAAAAAUAUUUUAAAAAAUUAGUUUUAUAAUAUUGACAAACAUUUAUUUUUUGCUUUGAAUUAUUUUUUUUUCUUGCUUUAUUUGUUAUAAUAUCAUUAAAUUAAUUAAUUUCAUUAAAUUUAUUAAAGCAAAUUACCUAUAUAUUAUUUUUAAUAUUUUUAUACUAAAAAUAAUUGGUUCAUGUGAAGCGACCCGCCUAACUAUUCUUAUCUGUAAACAUAUCAUGUUAUCACAAACUUAUUUAAAGCUUGACGCAUUGGUCAAUUAUUUUAUAUUUCAGUGUUUUGUGACAUUAACAAUGAAGUUAUUGAUUGAAGCAUUGGUCCACACUCUUAAAUGGCGAAGACUUCCCCCAUGCGCACUCAGGUCAAUGAUGAACAAUUGUAGGUUUUUUGAUCGCCAAACCUUACUUUUGAAGAUGUCAUUGAAAGUGCCGCCCCAUCUUUUAUUUUUUUUGUUUUUUUUAUGGCGUGGGUGGCGCGAUAAUUUAGUAUUUUUAUUUUUAUGUUUUAAAAAUAUUUUUUAAAAAAUUUAAAAACUAAUAUAUUUUUAAAUUAUUUUGAUGCGUGAAUAUUAAAAAUAAUUUAAAAAAUAUAUAUAAUUAAUAUAUAUAUUUUAAUACAAAAAAUUAUUUAAAAAAUAAUCACACGGUACUAAAUAAUCUCUUGAAAUUGUUGGAGUGUCGGGACUGUUCUCAUAUGUUUUUAUAUUUUUUUUUAUUUCAGUUUUUAUUCUAUUAAUUUUAUAAUUUUUUAUUUGAUACUUUUAUUUAAAAUUUUAAUCGCUUUCAAUAAAGCUUGUCGGUGGUAAAACACACUCCGAAGCAAUCUGUGGUUCAACGACAAAAAUAUGAGCUUUCUUUUCUGUUCGUUUCUGUGGUCCACCACCUUUAAUUUCUUUCAUGGCAAGAGUUUUGCCCCCAUGCGCAAUUAGGUCAAUGACGAAGAAUUGUAGGGUUCUUGCUUAUUUCUUCUGGUCCAGAAGCCUGUGCCGUGUAACAAUCUAUGGGUAGAAAUUAAUGGCAAAGGGAAGAGAUGAAAGAAGAAGGUCCAUCAAAAUCCUUCUAUCCUCCCUGCAACUCCUUCAGAAUUCUAGGACUUGUUUAUUUUUGUAUUUUUAAAAUAUUUAAAAAAAAUUAAUUUUUUUUAUUUGUUUAAAAUUAAAACACGUCAAUUACAAGAUAUUAAAUAAUCAAAGAAAACAUCCAAGUUUAACAUCAUAAAAUAAUAAUAAAUUAGUUCAUUGUAUAGAGAACAGUAAAUUUAUCUUAAUAAAAAAUUAAAUGAAAUCAAUCGUAUGAAAGUGAAAUAAAACAAUAAGUGAUGCCUAAUCCUUUGAUCUCCCACCAACAAUCUUUUAGCAAUAUUUUGUUGAAAAAGUGUACCUCUAAUCUUACAGUUUUGUUCUUAGUUUUAUUGUCUUCAUUUGUAUUCUAUCAUAUGAGUUUCCAGACUUGUAGGUAAACAUAAAUGCAUCUAGCAACAAUUUCUCUAAGUUUUUUUAUUGAAUCUAUGAAAAGAAUUUCAAGAAGUUAAUUACGAAUUUAUAUAAACUCUUGUACUAAAACAAUCAAAUUAUAUUAUGAAAUUAAUUUUGUUAUUAAUACUUCAUUGAAUUCAGAAUUUGUGAUCCAAAUGGUUAAUUUGACCAUGGUCUUGGAGAGUUUUUUUAUUUUUUUUUAUCUGAAAGAUAUUCAUCUUCAAAUUUUAUUAGAAAAAAAUAUCACAAAUAAAAAGUAAAUUUUAAAUUUUUACAAAAAUAUUUUUAAAACAUAUAAAUAUACACAGACAGUUAGUAUUGUCAUUGACAUGGUCUUGAUGAUGACUUACCAAAAUAAUUUUCAAUUGUCGAUGCUCCAUAGAGUGUUUAAGGCACAAGCCACUCUCUCCCAGUGAAGCAAUGAUUUUUAGUCCAAGUUAUCAUGUGCGUGCUUGAAAGUUUUUUUGUCCCGUAAUUGCAGCAAAAUUUGAAUUUUGCACCUAAAACGAUCGUUAGCAAAAACAAUCUGUAAUUUUUCUUGCAAAGAUCUGUAAGGUAAUUAUAAGAUUAUCAGCACUGGAUAAAUAGAAAAAUCUUGGAUUUAGAACUAGAAAAAUCUUCUAAAUGAAUAAUAGAAAAGAAAAGAAAAGAGAAGAGAAGAAAGAAAGCUAAGCUUUACAACUGGAAAAAACAUUAUCAGCACUGGAUAAAUAUGAAAUGUUUAAGUUAAGUUGAUGCUGAAAUUCUGAAACGUUUAUUUCUAUCACCCUCCCGAUCACUCCUUAGUCCUUACAUAAAUAGCAUGACGUCAUACCUUUACUAUGAGGUAAAGGUUCCAAAACCAGAAUACAAAACAAUCCCUAGAAAUCAUAAAAUCCUAAUUUCAUCCCUUACUAAGGGGAAAUAGCGAUCGGGAUCCUCGUUAGCUGCGGGCAAUCACGCACAGUAAUUUCUUCGAGAGAAUCGCAAAGAAGUCUUCCAGAAUAAAUGCUAUUCAAAUUUGGUAAUUUCUUCAAUACCAAAACCCUCAAUUUAUCAAAUCUACGAAAAGGAGAGGAAUGCUCAUCACUUCCCAUUAUCUCCUGCAUGUUGUAACAUUCUUCGACUACAAUCACUUCCAAUCGGAGUGUAGACAACAACCAAGGAGGGAGCAGCACCUUCAUCCUAUGACAUUUAUGUAUCACGAUCUCUCUGAGAUUCCAGAAGACUAGCUCUGAAGGUGCUUCAAAAAGGGUUUCUAAGAUUAUCAAACCAUCAAGGUGUAGAAUCUCAAGCCCUUCAAUUUCAUCUGAUGGACAUAAGCUUCUCAUGUUUUGACAUCUCACAAAAACUACUUUUGUAAUGAAGAGCGGGAUCAGACGAUUUGCAUUGUCAAGCUUGAGGUCAUAAAACCAAGCCUCUUUAAUUAACCCUGACUUCGAUCUUGUAUAAUUUAGAUCUUCAAGUGAAGAGAAACAAGGUCGUCCUACAGUAACCUUGCAUGCAAUUUGUGAAAAUCUCCGUCCACGACAGAAAUAUACGAAAUCGUCUAGAUCACGGAAGUUGCAUUCCAAAGUUUCCAAAUCAUAUAAUCUGGAAACUUCGUCUCCACUAACUAAGAGAACAACUCCAAAUCCCUGAAGAAGCUUGAGGAACUGUAAUUUUGAGAGUUGGGGUAAAAUACCCGGCCGUAAAAAACGCACCACACUUUGAUCAAGAUUAAGAUACCUGAGAUCCUUCAGCCCUUCCAUUCCCUCGGGCAAAUCUUCAAGUCCAGUGUAACUGAGAUCCAACUUCUCCAAUGCCUCAAGCUUUGCUAAUGAUGGUACAUAACUCAGCUUUGCACACCAUCCCAGCAACAAUGCAGUGAGUCUCGUCAGAUGAGAAAUAGAAUCCGGCAACUUCUCUAUAUCUGUGUCGGAAAGAUCAAGAACCUUGAGUCCGAUGAGGUGCUGGAAAAAAGAAUCCUCGACCAAAUCCAAUUUGUAGUUUCUGCAUAACAAUAAUGUUGAGAGACGGGGGCACAUUGGUGAAAAGCCUGUUGGAAUAUUCUUGAUUCUAUUUUCCAUGAGUGAAACUCUUAACAGUUCCUUUCUCCACAAUCUUACAUCGGGUAAUUCUGUUAGGUGUGCACCUGCUUGAACCAUAGCCUCCCCACUUUCGUUCAAUAUUGUCCAAGCCAUAUCCCAAAUCAAAUCAUGCAUCUUGACAUAUCUGUAAUUUUCAUCGUCCCUGGAACCUUCUAAUAAGCUGGCAUCUUCAAGUUGAUCAAGCAUGGUAUGGCCCCUAUCAAAUUGUGCAUACCUACUCCCCAUUUCUUUGACUAUACCCUCGUCAAUCAAAUACUCUAUCAAGUCCUCUCUCCAGAUGAUCUUGCCUUUUGGAAAUAGUGUGAUAUGUAAGAAGCACUCUUGAAGUGCUGAAUCGUUCAACUGAGCAUAGCUAAAUUUCAAUACUCGAAAUACAUUGGCUUCCAUCUCACCUGGUCCAACUUCUAAUCUUCUCAGUUUUAGCAAUGCAUCUCUCCAACGAUAUUCAAAAGCAUUGGCUCCCUUCAUGCUUCGAGCCAUUGUCAUGAUUCCAAGGGGCAAACCAGCACACUCCUUCACAAUAGACUGUGCGAUCUCAGGAUAAAGUGUACCACCACGCCCUAAUCUGUCUAUGAACAGAUCCCAAGCCUCACCCUCAGAAAGAGGCUCCACUUUGAUUGUCCUUUGGCAAUCCAUUUUUCGACAUAUCUCCAGUGAUCUCGUUGUGAGAAUCAACUUCCACCCGUCUGUUCUAAGAGGUAUUCCCACUUCGUCAGGAAGAAAAUCACCCCACAAAUUAUCAAGAAUUAAAACACCUUUUAUCACACUCAAUGCUGUCCAUAGCUCCCUGGCUCUAAUCAUCACAUCUUUUCCAUUCUGAAGACAUAAACCAAAAGCAUUGGCAAUGAGAUCCUGCAAUGCGUGAACGCUAAAUUCUCGAGAGUCAGUAAUCCAAUAGACACAGGGAAAAAUGUCAGGUUUCUCUUGAAGGUGAUCAAGGAUAUGUGUAGCCAAAGUUGUCUUUCCGACUCCCCCCAUCCCGUAAAUGCCAAUGCAUGAGACCUCAUCAUUCAACAACCAAGAGCAGACAUCCUUCAUAUUUCUUUUAAACGCUUGGCCCACUAUAUUCGUUGUCAGAUCAUAUCUUGUAGUCCUAGGACGCUUAUGUACAGGCCUUUUAGAAGAGCUUCCUCUCACAACAAAAGACUCUGUUCUUUGUCUAGUCUCGGGUUCAUCUGGCAUAAGAACGACAGGAGCUCUAGGUUCCUCGACAAGCUCAGUCUCCCCCCCAAUCAGAAAACCCUUACGUCCUCGUUCAUCCGAAAGUGGUUGUUCUUCUUGCUCCAUUUCUAAGCCCCGCAAAGCAGUUGAAGCUGCAUCAAUUCCCUCGUUAUUGCUUGAACUUGGCACACUCUUAUCUGCAGGCAUUUUAGAACAGCUUCCUCUCUCAGUAACAGCCUGCAUCCAUUCCUGAAGAGUGAUGUUAUUCGUAUCCGUUUCAAAUGCUUGAACUGCUGGCUCUAUUCCCAAUCCAGUCUCAGGUGCAUCGGGCAUAAGCAUGCUAGGAACCAUGGUCUCCUCAGACAGGAAAAACUCUCCCCCAGUUAUCCCAUCCAUCCAUGAAACAUCAUCCGAACUUGGCAUGCUCCCACGCAUUCUGUCAGGAAGCUUAUCAAACGCUGCUCGUUGAGCAUCUGGAGUUACUUUUUCACAAAUUUUAACACCACGACCUCGAACUUUUGCCAGAUGAUAAUUCAUCCUUGUAGUGGAAGUACUUCCAGCCAAUGUCUUCUCGCAAAACAUGCACUUCAAUAAACCACCAUCUUUCUCAAAACAACUCUGAAAUGGAUCACUUCCUCCAGCCAUUUUUUCUUCUGUGUCCCUACAUACAAACAUAACAAAGAACUUUCAGAAUAUUGAAUUAAAAUGGAACUUAAACUAAUUGAAAAAAAGAAGAAGCUAAGUUUAACAUAAAAAGAAAAAUUGAUUACAGGUGUUUCACUGUCUAAACCAAAGUCAAGUUAAACCACUCCAAAGAUCAAAGUGCUCUUUUAUUUUUACUUUCCCAAUAAUUCUACAACUGGUCAUAUCAGUAAUUUAAUAACCAGUAUGUUUCUUUUUGCUUAGAAGAAUCAAACUACAUGAGUUGGAAAAGAAAUGGUAUGAAAAAAGAGCUAAAAUUAAUCAAACUUAAUUACCUGAACAGCAGAAGCAGCAAGAUGUUAUCCAAUGGUCUGAUUAAAUCAGAAAAAAGAAGAUGGACGGGGAAGAGUAAGUGUGUUGGAGACGAGUGAUAGAGCUUCGGCUUGUGUGGUUGUGGAUAAGGAUAGAUUCAGACAGUCAGAGAAGCAGAUGACAGUGAAAAAAAGUUAAAUGGACUUCUGUCGUUCAUGGAUGUCAUAUGGACAUGUUGUUGGUCUUCCAGGAAGCGGAUCCGGCGAGGGGUGCUCUAGUGAAGGCGUGGGGGUAGGCGGUGGCUGAUGAUAGUCUCCUCGUGUGGUGGACAGCACGCCAGCUUUGCAAACGAUGAGAAAGAGCACGAUCCACCACAAAACAGCAGAAGAGAAAGCAGCAGGCCGAGAGAAGAAAAGGGAGCAGGAGCAGAGUUGACCGAGAGACAGGUAGAGCUUGUUAGAGAUGGAGAAAAUAACUUCUUAAAUAGUGUAAAUAUAAUUUUUUUUAAUUAUAUAUAUUUUAAUGGUAUAAAAAUAUUUAGAAAAGUUAAUUAUAUUUUAAUAUAUUUUAUGUUAAAUUAAUUUUAAUAUAAUUAUAUAACUAGUUUAGAUAUUUUAUAUAUAAUAUAAUUAUGAUGUUAUUAAUUAUAUAAUUAAUAUGAGUAAUUUAUAAAAGUAAUAUAAAAUUAAUGAAGUAAUAUGAAAGUUAAAAGAUAUAAUUUAAAAUUAAAUUUAAAAUUUAUUUAUAUGAAUAUUUUUAAUUUUAAGUUUUAUAUGUAAUUGUUAAAUAUUUAAUUUUUUUAAAAGUAAAUUCAAAUUUAAACUUUGAAAAAAUGACUGCCAACAUUUUAAAUUUUGAAAAAAUUACCGCCAACAUUCUAAGAUUUUACAAUUUAAAAAAAUAAUCCAUCUAUAAAUAUUCUCAUAUGCCUUAACAUUUUUUUUCUCGUCAUUUUCUUCUCUCCAAUCUUUGUUAUAUUUCAUUAAAAUUCAUCAUGAAUCAUUCUAAUUUUAAUUUUUAUGAUGCUUUUGAUUUUAAUAAUGACACUCCUAUGUUUGCUUUUCAAGUUGCUACUGUCGUGGUUGCUGAAGAAGAAUCGAAUAAUCAAGGGCGAAGAACAGGAUAUCGUGGCUCUAUUCAUGCUCACAAUAUUGUCAAUCGUAAUAGAAAGGAAGACAAGUUAAAGUUAUAUAAUGAUUAUUUUGUAGAAAAUCCUAAAUUCACUGAAAGUCAAUUUCGAAGAAGAUUUAGGAUGAGUCGUCGUCUUUUUCUUCGGAUCGCAAAUGUAGUAGAAGCUCAUAAUCCAUAUUUCAAACAAAGGACAUAUGCUCUUGGUGUUCUUGGUUUAUCUUGCCUUCAAAAGAUAACUGCAGCUCACAGAAUACUUGCAUAUAGUAUUCCUGCAGAUCUUACUAAUGAAUAUCUUUGAAUUGGAGAAAUCACUGCGAUAGAAAGUCUUAGAGCUUUCGUCAAAGCAAUCAUAAAAGUUUUUGGUGAUUGGUAUCUAAGGGCACCAAACAAGACCGAUAUUUGUCGAUUAUUAUCAAUUGGAGAGCAGCGUUGAUUUCCAGGGAUGUUAGGGAGCAUUGACUGUAUGCAUUGAAAAUGGAAGAAAUGCCCAAUUGCAUGGCAUGAGAUGUAUACUGGUCAUUAUCGUGAACCAACUAUAAUUCUAGAGGCGGUGGCUUCACAACAUCUUUGGAUAUGGUAUGUCUUUUUUGGAAUGCCUGGAUCAUUAAAUGAUAUUAAUAUUCUUGAUUGGUCAUCUAUCUUUGUUGCACUUGCUGAAGGUCGUACUGCUCCUAUCAAUUAUACAAUUAAUGGGAAUGAAUAUACAAUGGGAUACUAUUUAGCAGAUGAGAUUUAUCUUAAUUGGUCAACCUUUGUUAAGACAAUCCUAAGACCAUUAGGAGCAAAAAAAACAAAUAUUUUGCAAACAAGCAAGAGUCUGCAAGAAAAGAUGUGGAGCGGGCAUUUGGAGUGCUUCAAUCUCGUUUUGCAAUUGUACGUGGACCUGUUCGAUACUGGGAUGAAGAAACGCUUGCAUAUAUUAUGAAACCUUGCAUAAUAAUGCAUAAUAUGAUUAUUGAGGAUGAAGGAGCAAUGAACCUUGGAUUUGACCAUGAACAUGAAGUCAAUUCCUUUAUAUCAGUGUCACAUGGUGAAAUACCAGAACUACAUGAUUUUCAUCAAACUCAUAAUCGAAUUAGGGAUAGAGCAACUAGCUCUCAACUAUAAGAAGAUUUGAUUGAACAUUUGUGGAAACAAUAUGGCAACGAGUAGAAUCUUUAGAUCUGAACUUCUUAUGUUAUCAUAAUUUUCAAGUUUUUUAUGUUUUUUUUUUCAUUAUGGUUGUUAUUUUUUAAGUUAAUUAAUCCUACUUAUUAUUGUUAAGUGUUAGAGGAACUUCAAAAAAAUAUUAUGAAUUAAUAUCAAUUUCAUAACAAUAUAUUUAAAAUAACCAAGAAUUUUCUACAUAUUUAAUUAAAAAUACAUUACAUUACAAUAAAUCAAUCAAAGUUAAUUAAAAAUUAAAACCCCUCUUUUGCAUAAUUUCUAACUUUCUAUUUUGAAAUAUACAUUUUCAUAAUUUGUUCUUCUUUCUCAAUCCUGUCAAAUUCUUGUUUCUCUUGACUUUAUUGAAUCAUCAUGGCUUGUUGCUCUUACAUAAUUUUCCUGUCUUGUUUCUUCUAAUCCUCAAUUUCAACUAGAGUAUCCCUAAAUUGUUGUAAGAGAUUCGUUACAGUUACCUCCCCAACUUUAUCUUUUCCUUGUUUACUUGUACAUCGUUCAUUUGCAGCCUUCUGACCGAUUGGUCUAUCUUGAUAAAUCAAUGGCUCACUAUCUUCUUCUAAACUAACAGAAUCAAUGGUAGAUGGAGUUGAUGAAGUCGGACUUGUAUUGGCAUGACUUUUUUGUUUCUUAUUUGACCUUUGAUGUUGACUUGCACGCUCAAAUUGUUAUUUGGGUUCUUUUCUUAAGAUAACCCAACAAUGUUCUAGUUGAAAUCGUUUGCCAACGCAAGAAUCAUACAUUUGUCGAGCAUCAUUAAUCUGGUAAAAAAAUAAAUAAAUUAAAUAAUAUUAAAAUAUGUGUUAAACAAUUUAACAUAGAAAUGAAUAUUAAAAUUACCCUUGAUUCUUCAGUCUUUCCACUUUGUUGACGAUUUUCAAUUUGAGUAACAAAUCCAACAAAUUUACCGACUUCUCUAUUUAUUUCUUGCCAUCUACUUGAGAUGCUUAUUUAGGAACGAUUAUUCAAGUUUCCUCCAUUCUCUACAAAGUAAGCAUACACACGAGCCCAUAACUGUUUUGUUUGUUGUUCAACUCCUGUAAUUGGAUCCUUGCUUGUAUUUAGUCAUGCAGGGACAAGUAAACAAUAUUUCUCUGGUGAGAAAUUUUUACUUCUUUGUGAUUUUUUUGCUGAAUGGACAUAUAAAUUCAAGUAUGUUAAGUCAUCAAUUAAUUGAUUAGAAUCACUUGGUUGAGAGAGAAUAUCUUCUGACUCACUCAUAAGAAAGUUGGUAAAAGAGCUUGGAAAAUUUGAAUCCAUCUACAUUAAAAAAAAAAAAAAAACUCAAGUUAAAACCUUAUAAGAGGGUGUAAAAAAAGCUCACAUUCAAUGUCUAAUAAUUUUAUAGUUUCCAUAUAUGUGAAUUAAUAAUAAGCAUAGCCUUGUAAUUGUUCUAACAUAACAAUUUGACCAUUUUUUGAAACUAAAAGAGAUUUGAUAUACUGGUUUAAUUGUAUUUUCAACAAGACAAAAUAUAAUUGACCUCAAAUUAAAACAGAUAAUAAAAAAUAAAUUUUAAAUAUGUCACUCUAUCUUUUUAUCAAUAUCAACUACCAUUAUUAAUUCCUCUCAAUUUUAUCAAAGAUAACAACAUAAAUAAAAAUUGUCUUCCUUAACCCAUAUUAAAAACAUAAAAUAAUAAAGAAAUAAAAAUAAUCACAAAUAUUAAAUUAACAACAAAAGGUCUAAAACAUCAAGAGAUAUAAAAGAGAAAAUAGAAAAAGCUUUUAAACAAGCAUACCUUUUAAUUUCAACUAAUUAACACAACCAAUGUUAUUAAUUAACUGGAGAAUAAUUGAUUUUUAUUUUUCUAAAUUUGAGAGAAGGGUGAGGCACAAUACAAAAUUUUAAAAUCUACAAGUUCUUUCCUCCUGCAUUUAAAGAAAAUUCCUCUUGCAUUUAAAGAAAAAAAAAAAGAGCUAUUGGCCAAUGGCUAUAAAAAUAGCUGUUGGCCAACAAUUAUUUGUUUUUGCCAUUUCUACAGGGAAAUAUAGAAAUGACUUGCCAGUGAACAAAUAGCUAAAAUAGCUAUUUGUUUGGGUGCUGGGUUGGAGUGAAGAAAUGAAAAAGUAAAAGCUAAAAGUACACUUUUUAACAUUUGGCUUUUUAUUUGGCUCAUACGUUGGAGAUGCUGUUAAAACAAUUCAAUUAAUAUAAAAUAAAUAAAAACUUCUAUAAGAAGGUUAUAAUUUUUUUAAUUAAUUUAUUUUAAAAGUAUAUAUUUUAAUCUAAAUAUAAAGUAAUUAUAUAUAGACUAAAUUAAAAAUAUUUUUUAUUUUUAAUAAAAAAAAAACAAGAUAAAUAUAUAUCUUUUAACAUGCUCUCAAACUUGCAAUGUGAUAACUACAAGUAUUGAGAGUUUAUCAAUUAGAAAACAAAAGUGAGAAAUGGAUUGCAACUUGGUAAAGAAAUCUGUAAUUUGCAAUGAAAAAAAAACAAAAGGUAAAAUAAUGAUGUCAUGCUUGAGAUAAUAGCGAGUAAAAUAACAAUCGAUCUCAAUAUAUUUAGUUUGUUCAUGAAAAAUUGAAUUGUGAAUAAUAUAAAUAAAACUCUAAUUGUUAAAAUUCAAAGAAAUAGAAUAAGAAAAUUUUUAUUGAACUCCUAUUAAAAAAAUAAAUUCAAUAAUAAAAAUAUCUUUUAUUUUUAUUAUUAUUAUUAUUAUUAUUAUUAUUAUUAUUAUUCUUUUUCUUCUUCUUCUUCUUUUGCUGGAAUGUGAUUAUCAAGUCAUUAGCUCUCUCCUAAAACUUCUGUGAUAACUUUCCUUUUUUUUUUUCAAUAUCCCAAGAUUGAAAUAUGAAAAAAAUAAAUGAAACAUCAAUCUCUAAAACAAUAGCAAUCAAAAAUAUUAAAACUUUAAAGAUUAAAUUAAAAUUUUCCACGUCAAAAUCUGAAUGGUGUAUUUAUUUUUGUUCUUUGUUAAAUUUGGUUUUUGUUUCUUUUAAUUUUUUAUUUUGAACCACAAUUAAAUUUUAAAUUUAAAAAAUCAGAACCAGACUCAAAUUUAAAUUUUCUUAAAACCAAGCAUGCAGAAGAUAAUGUAAAUCAAAAGAAAUACAAACAAAUGAUACCAUGAUAAUAUAACUCUAAAGGAUAAAAUUAUAAAAAUAAAAAGUUUAAUAAUCAAAAUUAAAAAUACAUUGUUCUUAUAAACAGAUGAAUCCACAAUAAAAUGAGUAAAAUGAGUGUACGUAAAUCAUGUUUGUGCUACAAUUAAAGAUUCAUAUGUUUUAGUCAAUGACUAGUUGUGGACCCAUACUAUGUCAUAAGGUUAGAUUUUCUUUUUAUAUAAAAAUUAGUGUUGAGGUGUUGCAAAUAUAUUUUUAAGCAUGAAGAAGAAUUCUCAUUUUAGGUUAUAGACUUGACCAUGUCAAAUAGGAUAGUUUAUUUUAAUUAGAUGAUAGAAAAAAUAGAGUAAUGGAAAUAGAUGUACAAAAUUAAAGAAAAAGUCGUGAUAAUAUAGGGAAAAACUUUAGAGGAUGAAGUUGCAAGAAUUAAAAGUCCAAUGACUAAAAUUAAAAAAAUGAACUGCUCAUAUGUACAAUCAAAUCCACGACGAAAGCAUGAACAUUGUUUGGUGCCAUAGUAAAAGAUCCUUAUGUUCAAGCUAUUUCUGUAAUAAUCUCUAACUGUAAUUUGAGUUCCGUCAUCCAAUUGUAAGCUACACGUCGUCUGUGAUUGUCGGUUUUCUAUUCAGACAUCCUGUGAAUAGUCAGUCAAAGUGAAAUACAAGAAAACAAAUCCCUCUCUCCUCUCCCCGCUCUGUGAACUCUCCUUUUAGGUAGCCAUGACUGCGGCCACCAAGAAACACCUACCCUCCACACUUGAGGGUCCAGCUGCUGUGGUCAACCGUGUGACUUGUUCCGCCCCCAUCCCGGGUUCGACCCUCUAUGUGUACGCCUGUCACCCCCGCGGUGCCUUACAUGUUCACUGGGCUUGCAGGAUGCCCAGUGGGCCCGGGGACUAGUUGUGGUGCGCGCAAACUGGCCCGGACACCCCGGUUAUCAAAAAAAAAAAAAAAAAAGAAACACCUACCCUCCUCCGCUAAGCCACCCAAGAACCACCACUCUACCCCCAACACCACCACCACAACAACCCCACAACCUAACAUAACUCAAAACCCUAACCCAACCACCAAUCCAUCACCACUAUCUCCCACCCUCAAAGACCAGGUUUUGUCACGCGCCACCCAUAUCACGGACCAAGAACUCCUCAAAAGAAGGUCUUACAAGCUAAAACAACUCUCAAAAUGCUUCAAAGAUCAUUACUGGGCAUUAAUGGAAGAACUCAAGAUUCAGUACCGAGAAAAAAUUAACCGAAAAAACCGAACCGAUAGAAAAAACCGAAUAAACCGAUUAAAAAAACCACCCGGUCCGGUUCGGUUCCGGUUUAAGAAGGCUUAAACCGAUUAAACCGGACCGAACCGAACUAGUUUAAUUAAAUCUAAAAAAAUAUAUAAAAAAACAUCCUAAACUUAAUAAUUAAUACCCCCUCCCCCAAAACCUUUCCAGCUACCCCUCCCCUUUUCCCGGCUUUCUCUUCCCCCCACAAAAUAAAACCCAGCACUCUCAAUCCCCACCCACACAACCUUUCCCUCUAAACAUUUCUAAAACGUGUGAUUGGAAUGUCCAUCACAAGUGUAGAAGGAUAUUUGGGUCCCAUAUCCAGGACCGUGAUGAUUGUUAUUACCAAAGCUCUAAUUUUUUUCACUUAAAUAAGAGGACAAGACAGGACAUGACAGGACACGAGGAUAUAACGGUUUUAUCUUAUUUAAUUGAUUUCGGUUUUUCUGGUUUUUAAAGCUAAAAAACCGACCCGAACCGAACAAAACCGGUUCGGUUUGAACCGGUUCUCGGUUCGGUUCGGGUUAUAUUAACAAGGAAUAGAAUUUUCUGGUUCGGUUAAAUUUUCAUGUUAAAACCGGACCGAACCGGACCGUGAACACCCCUAAUCAUAGGAAUAUAAACAUAUACCUUCACUCUUUUUUAGAAGCUAAAAGGUUUAAAAUUAAUUUUUAAAAGUAUCAAUAUUAAAUUACCAUAAAUCAAGAAUAUAAUUCUAGAAAAAUCAAGGAUUAUUUUUAUAUAUAUUAACUUUUCAUUCACCUAUAAUUUGUUUAAAUCAUUUUAAUGAAAACAAGUUUCCAACACCAACACAUAACAACACACCUUUUUUAUUUAAUUUUUUUUAUUUGUUUUUUCAAUUUAGUUUUCAAUUGAUGCCCUCUCUUUUUAUAUAUAAUUGAUUAGUCUAUCUACUUUUUAAAUACUAAUUAAUUUUCUAAAUGAUUUUUUAAAAUUUUAUAAUGCCUCAAAGGGAUUAUUAUAAUUUGUUUUAAAUCUUUUAUCUAUUAAAUUCUUUAUCUCGAUAAGUUAUAUUUUCAUGAUAUAUUUAUAUUAAUGAAAAUCAAAUAUAUUUAGUAUCCAUUAUAAACUUUCAAGAUAAAUAAAUAAAUACUAGAAAAAAAUUAAUCAAGCCUGCAAUGUAACAUUAAUCACCAAUCGAAUUAUAAUCUAUACUAAAAGGCAUUAGUUUUUGAAAUUACUAUGCACUCUUUCACAAUACAUUAUGGAUUGGAGCAAAGAUUUUAUAUAUAUAUUUUCACUUUGGUCUUUGAACUUUUAUUUUGAGUGAUUUGAUAUUUUUUAGCCCAAAUUAGCCCCCAAUUGCACAUUGUUUUAGAAGAGAGGGUUGAAUUGAAAGAUAGGGAAUUGAAGUGAAAAUAUCGGGUAACAUAGGGGGUGGGUUGAAAAUUUUGCUAACACAUUCAUUUUAAGCCCCUAUCGUUUUUAAAUAUUAGGUGACCAACCCCUUGAAUCUUAAGAAAAUAUAUUUUUGUACCUAACUUCAUUUUUCUCUUUUUAGUUCUUUUUUUGUUGGGAGGAGAGGGAUGGAGUCGCCAAAUUCUAGCCUAUAGAGAGAAAAUGACUAUUUGAAAAGAUUACGGCCACCAAAAUGGCUGAUUUUUAUAUCAAAAAGUUUCAUAUGAUGAAGGGGUUUAGGUGUUUUUUUUUAUUAUUAUUUACCUAAAAAACACCUGAAAAAGAUCUGAGCUUUGGUAGAAUUUUUGUUUCAGUUAGAUUUUAGGUUUUGGGGCGGUUUAUUGGGUUUUUGGUGACCAUGGAUUGACUUAAUAACGUCUCUAGGGUUUUUUUCUAGGUAUCUUGGGGUAAAAAAUAGAUUGAAAAUUAAUUUUUGAGUAAAAAAAUAAAGGACCUUAUUUUUCCGGCCACCAUAAUGGCCGAAUUCUAGGUUGCGCAAAUGAUACAUCAUUGUUUUAUAUACUCAAGGCAUUAGAAUUGUUUUUAAAAUAAAGGCUUGCGCAUUAGCUGUUGCUGUAUUAGGUCAGAUAUUGGGCAUGGCUUGAUUCUUUUUUUAUUUUAUUUUUUAUUUUUAGUUUUGUGUGUAUUUUAUCAAAUAAAUUUUGGGUUUAUAUUUUAAUUAGAUUGUGAUUAAUUUUAAAUGAUAUUGAGUGUGUUUAAUUUUUAAAGAGGUAUGUAUGAUUCAUCUGUGAUUUUUUCUUAAUUUUAUAUAUAUUAAAUUUGUUUUUUUAAUAAGAAUUUUUAUAUGUGCAGUCUUACAUUGUUUAUAUAUAUAUAUAUAUAUAAUUAUUAUUCAAAACUUUUUAUGUAUGUGUCAGUUUCUAUUAUAAUUUUAGUUUGAUAGAGGGGUUCAUUAAACAUAAUGAUGUAAAUUACCCAUAUUGCAAUUUUAAUACUCAUUAUUUUUAUUGUAGUUUCUUGAUUUUUGAUUUUUGUGUUGUUUUUCUUGUGAUUUUAACCCUCAUAUUUUUUUUUUCUAUGUAUAGUACUUUCGUUCCUAUAACCUAGGUUAUUGUUUAAAAAGUUAACAGUAAUUGAUUUUUUUUGUUUUAUUUUUUUAUAUUCAUUUUUUUCUUUUUAUAUAAUUAUUCUAUUCUCUUUUAAUUUUUAUUCCAUUAACAAAUAAGAUCAUUGAGAUGUUUUGAAAAUAUUAUGAAUAUAUAGUUUUAUAAUAUUGACAAACAUUCAUCUUUUGCAUUGAAUCAUUGUUUUUUUUUUCUCGCUUUAUUUGUUUGUCAAUAUCAUUAAAUUAACUAAUUUUAUUAAAUUUAUUAAAGCAAAUUACAUUUGGAGUUAUGAGAAAUGGAACUCAAAGAUUUCUCGAAACAGAAGACCAUUGGUCCAUCACUUCUAAGAUAUGUAACUCUCAAUUCUUUCCAAACAUCGAAAGUUGUCGUGAAAUAAAGAAGAAUCAUCAGAAAGAUUCUAAACAGCGGUGUUGAGUGAAUCAUUGUGUGCUGUAAAAGUUUUUUUUUUUUAAGAUCAGACAUUUUGAAGUUUUGAAAAAAUCAAGAAGAUGAUGAAAAAGAAUGUUGAAACCACAAAUAUCUGAUUUAUGAGAAAUGAAGCUAUGAUACCAAGAAAAUUGUUGCGCAAGAAAUGAGAAACGCAGAGGAAAGAAAAGAAAAGUGGAUUCUUGAGAGAAGGAAAGUGUGUUCUGCUCUUCUAGAGAAUUAUAUGCAGAAACUUAGUUUACUCUUCUUUUAUUUCUCUUCUUCUUGUAUUGUCUAUACCAGGGGAUACGAAUGUAUAUAUAUAUAUACGCAUUUGCUAACUCUUAAUUUGUAGCAAAUUCACAGUCUAAAGCCUUCAUCAAACUAAAUUAUCAUAUUUAUAAAGGCCAAAAUCAUGGCCAGUUUUUGUGCACAUGAUCUGUAUAGGAAUUCCAUGUACAAUGCUUGAUAGUCAUAAGAAUAUAAAAUAUCCUUUGCGAGCCAUAUAGCUUGAUAGCCAGCCGGUAGAUCCACGGUUUGCCCUUUCUUGCAAAUGUUUUCAGCAUGCAACUAUUAGGUACUCAACCAUUCAUUUAGAAUUGAUAGUCUAAUGAUUGAUUUUUAAAAUAUUUUUAAUUUGAAAAGAUAUUAAAAUAAUAUAUUUUUUAUUUUUAAAAAUUAUUUUUGACAUCAGCUUAUUACAACGAUUUGAAACCAUUAAAAAAAUUAUUUUGAAGCAAAUAAAAAAUAAAACAAUUAAUUUGAAACAAAUUAAAAUUAUUUUUUUAUUAAUAAAUUAUAUUUUCAUGAUAAAUUUAUAAUAAUAAAAGUCAACUGUGAUAAACUGGCAAGAUAAAUAAAUAAUUGUUUUUUAAAAAAAUUGGUUCGGCCUGCUGCAGUGAUAUCAUCAUAUCCCAUGUCACAUUCUCAUUUAAAGCAACGACAAAAGUUUGAGCUCUUUGUUUUGAUCUGUUCAUUGGUUCUCGAGCCAGACAACAAGGCAUCUCUUUCGUUUGAUAUUUUAUACUGAAAGAGCCGGUCAAUUAUUUUAUAUUUCCUUAGUUUCUUUCAGAGCAAGGCGCCCUCAGGUCAAUGAUGAAGAAUAUUUGUAGGGUUCUUGAUUAUUUCUUCUUGUCGAGAAGCUUGUAGCAAUCUAUCACGGUGUGCUUGUCAAGAAAGAUGUACGUAUUAUAGGGUAGAAGUGGUAAAGAAAAGAGAUGAUAGGAGGAGGAUGAAAGCACAUGAUCUCUCUAGGAAUUCUAUGUACAAUUAAUGCUCGAUAAUCAACUUCUUUUCACGGUUAAAAGAUUAAAGAAUUAAUUUUUAUUAUUAAUAAUUUUUUACUCUUUAUAUAGAGAAUGACUUUAGAUUAAUUUUUUAUUUAUUUAUAAUUUGUUUAAAUUAUAUUAAAGAAAACAAAUUUCCAACGCAAAGCAUAAUAACACACCUUUUCAUUUAUUUUUUCUUACUUUGUUUCUUUAAUUUAGUUUUCAAUUAUAUCUUUUUCUUAAUCUGUUAGUUUAACUAUUUUUAAAUAGUAAAUAAUCUUUUGAAUGAUUUUUUAAAUUUCAUAAUAUCUCAAAUGGAUUAUUGUAAUUUAUUUUAAUUUUUUUUUAUAGCUAGAUAAGUUACAUUUGCAUUAUAUGUUUUUAAUGAUGAAAAUAAAAUGGACUUAGUAACCAUGAUAAACCUUCAAGAUACAUAAAAAAAAAAUCAUCUAUAAAAAAUGAUUACCAAGUUCAUGUAUAUUAUCAAGUUCAAGUAUAUUGGAUCUAGCAUACAUACACAACCUAUAUAUUUAUAAUAAAUAAAUAAAAUAACUUAAUAGUCUUCGCAAUUGAAGUAGGUAGGCUGAAUUGCCUAAAUAUGAUGAAUAAAGGGUUGAAUUUGCAAAAUGAUAUACACAUUUUAAUUUGUUGAUUUGAUACAUCUCAAUCUGUGAAUUGACACUGCAUUAGUAAUUAAGAACUUAGAAGGUGAAUCGACAGAAAAGAAGAAUAAGAACAAGAAGAAGGAGCAUUAGUACUAUUUCCUAUAUUCGAUGGUCCUCGAACCUAAUAUGUUAUUACUGAAAAGAUAAAUUUCUGAACCUAACUCACAACAAUUUCCUUCAUUAUUGCUCAUUAUUAUGUUAUUACUGAAAAGAGUAAAUUUCUGAUCACUCUAUUUCUGAGAUGGCUGCCAACUCUUGGUGAAGACGUCUCGCUGGCAUGCGGCCUGCGCUGGUUCUCUUAGGGACAGAGGAGCUAAAAGGAUCAGGAGGCUGUGUUAAGUUUUCUCCUUCAAGCAUUUGGACAACAGUUUUCAUGGAAGGACGCUCUGCUGGGUUCCACUGGAUGCACCAUAGCCCCACAAUUGCUAGUUUCUUCGCAAUUCUAGCAUCUUCUUCUCCAUCGAUAUGAAACCGCAGGUCUUCUUCCUUUUCUAAGAGAUUUCCGGGAAGUAUAUCUGGUCGCCAUUUUCUGCUGUAGCAUCGACGUUCUUCCUUCCUCCAACCAUUUCCAACACUAACAUCCCAAAGCUGUAAACAUCUGAUUUAUAGGAAACAUUCCCGAAGUUCCUCGAGAACACUUCCGGGGCAAUGUAGCCAACAGUCCCCCUAGCAGUCGUCAUGGAAAUGGCACUUUUAUCCUUGGAACACAAACUUAGCCAUCCCAAAAUCGGCGAUUUUGGGAUUGAAUUCGUUGUCAAGCAGGAUAUUCUGUGGUUUGAUAUCAAAAUGGAGGAUUCUUUGAUCACACCCCUGGUGAAGAUAUUCAAUCCCCUUGGCUAUGCCUAAAGCAACACGAUUCAACCUUUCCCAGCCAAGGAAAUGGUUCCUUGAGUCUGCUGAGGAUAUGAACUUCUGUAAAGAAUCAUUUGGCAAGUACUCAUAAACUAGAGCUCGUCUAAAUCCAUCAGCACAGAAACCGAUCAAGCGAACAACAUUGACAUGGUGGAUUCUUGCCAUUGUUCCCACUUCAUUGAUGAAUUCCUCCCCUUUUCCUAUGGAAUUAUUGAGGAGCUUCACAGCUACAGCAAUUUC
Molecule: long non-coding RNA, 40181 nt
Filed under: Populus tremula
Lineage: Eukaryota; Viridiplantae; Streptophyta; Magnoliopsida; Malpighiales; Salicaceae
Description: long non-coding RNA (PTRE_LNC001422)
Source: RNAcentral